AAAGACUUAAUUCUUCGGUUUGCGUGUACAACGUUUGACCGUCUGUCUUAUAUAAAAUUUUUUUUAUGAUUAGUAUUUUCAUUAUUAUUAGAUGAUAAAACAUGAAUAAUACUUUAUGCAUGACUUAUCUUUGUAAAUUUUUUUAUAUUUUUUUUAAAUAAGACAGAUGGUCAAACAUUAAACACGGAAACUCAGG
Non-coding RNA from Oryza meridionalis, 196 nucleotides. The record is from Rfam. NCBI's taxonomy places the organism in Eukaryota, Viridiplantae, Streptophyta, Magnoliopsida, Poales, Poaceae.